RNAcentral lists this transfer RNA (49 nucleotides) under Hexamermis agrotis. RNAcentral describes it as "tRNA-Ser". Lineage: Eukaryota; Metazoa; Nematoda; Enoplea; Mermithida; Mermithidae. The record is from RNAcentral.
CACCUAGAAAAGAAAAUUUCUAAUUUUCUUUGACUAAAGUCUCUGGUGU